AAUGAACGCUGGCGGUAGGCCUAACACAUGCAAGUCGAACGGCAACACCGUAAGAUCGUGCUCUUACGGUUUGCGAAUGACGGGCGGGUUACGAAUACAUCGGAAUCUUCUAUUUCGUGGGUUAUAACGAAGAUGAAAUUACUCUAUUACCGCAUACAACCUACGGUUGAAAGCAUUGGAUCUUCGCAGCUUUCUCGAUUGAAUGAGCCGAUGUCGGAUUAGAUAGUUGGCGGGGUAAAGGCCCACCAAGGCAACGAUCCGUAGCUGGUCUGAGAGGAUGAUCAGCCACACUGGAACUGAGACACGGUCCAGACUCCUACGGGAGGCAGCAGUGGGGAAUAUUGGGCAAUGGGCGCAAGCAUGAUCCAGCGAUGCCGCGUGGGUGAAGAAGGCCUUCGGGUUGUAAAGCCGUUUUGUUGGGAAAGAACAGCAGUAGGUUAAUACCCCGCUGUUGUGACGGUACCCAAAGAAUAAGCACCGGCUAACUUCGUG
Molecule: ribosomal RNA, 492 nt
Filed under: uncultured bacterium
Lineage: Bacteria
Description: partial 16S ribosomal RNA
Rfam family: Bacterial small subunit ribosomal RNA
Source: RNAcentral